Molecule: signal recognition particle RNA, 103 nt
Filed under: Rubrobacter xylanophilus DSM 9941
Lineage: Bacteria; Bacillati; Actinomycetota; Rubrobacteria; Rubrobacterales; Rubrobacteraceae
Description: SRP RNA; RNA component of signal recognition particle
Rfam family: Bacterial small signal recognition particle RNA
About the family: The signal recognition particle (SRP) is a universally conserved ribonucleoprotein involved in the co-translational targeting of proteins to membranes. Archaeal SRP consists of a 7S RNA and homologues of the eukaryotic SRP19 and SRP54 proteins.
Source: RNAcentral
GGUCCGGUCCCGGGCAAUGGGGGCCCGUGAACCGUGUCAGGGCCGGGAGGCAGCAGCACUAAGCGGGUCACCCCAUGUGCUGCGGGGCAGCCGGGCCGGAGCU